This 600-nucleotide ribosomal RNA is filed under the name Moesziomyces antarcticus. RNAcentral describes it as "partial large subunit ribosomal RNA". It matches the Rfam family "Eukaryotic large subunit ribosomal RNA", at positions 62 to 643 of the family's 3401-position model. Lineage: Eukaryota; Fungi; Basidiomycota; Ustilaginomycetes; Ustilaginales; Ustilaginaceae. The record is from RNAcentral.
AAACUAACAAGGAUUCCCCUAGUAACGGCGAGUGAAGAGGGAAGAGCCCAAGAUUGAAAGCUGGCGUCUUCGGCGUCCGCAUUGUAAUCUCAAGAAGUGUUUUCCGCUUCGGACCAAGCCUAAGUCCCCUGGAAAGGGGCAUCAUAGAGGGUGAUAAUCCCGUACAUGGCUUGGAGCGCCCGAGGCUUUGUGAUACGCUUUCUAAGAGUCGAGUUGUUUGGGAAUGCAGCUCAAAAUGGGUGGUAAAUGCCAUCUAAGGCUAAAUAUUGGGGAGAGACCGAUAGCGAACAAGUACAGUGAUGGAAAGAUGAAAAGAACUUUGAAAAGAGAGUUAAACAGUACGUGAAAUUGCCAAAAGGGAAGGGUAGGAGGUCAGAGAUGCGGCCUGGGAUUCAGCCUUGCUUUUGCUUGGUGUUUUUCCCAGAUUGCAGGCCAACGUCGGUUUUGGGCACUGGAGAAGGGUAGGAGGAACGUGGCACCCCUCGGGGUGUGUUAUAGCCUCCUACUGGAUACAGCGACCGAGACCGAGGACAGCAGCGUACUCGCAAGAGCGGGCCUUCGGGCACCUUUACGCUUAGGGCGUUGGCAUAAUGGCCCUCU